This 726-nucleotide long non-coding RNA is filed under the name Lingula anatina. RNAcentral's name for it is "uncharacterized LOC106167184". Lineage: Eukaryota; Metazoa; Brachiopoda; Lingulata; Lingulida; Lingulidae. The record is from RNAcentral.
GGUAUAAAAUACGGUACAUAGGACUUUAACUGCGUAUUAAAAGAGGAGGCGUGUAGUUCAACAUCUGAAUAAUAAUCCGUUGAACCAAGCAAGAAAACGAGGAUUCAGAAAAAUGUCUGACAAGAAGGGAUAUCAGGGCACUGGAGACAAACCAGAUCUUGAUAACCAUGGUAACCAAUGUAACCCUAACAACCCGGAGUACCGAGGAUAUACCCCUGGAUACUCUGGGAAGGGAGACAAGCCUGACCUUGAUCACCAUGGCCAACAGUUGAAUCCCAACAACCCCAAGUAUCAGCCUAAGAAGUAGAGGGCAAUUCUGUACAAUCAUGGAACAGUAGUUUAGCAUCUUGGAUUAGAUUUUUAACCAUUCUUGAUUUGUGUGAAAAUCCCUAGAGAACAUGUGAUUUUUGAACGAAGAGACCAUCUUUCAAAUUCUGUUCUAUAAUCCUUGCAAAUGAACGUAAAACAAGAAGGAAUAAGACAGUCAUGUUGACAUCCUGGUGACCAGACCUUGUGUUAUACAAACAACAGUAUCACAUACAACUGUUAAUAAGGAAAAAAUUCUAUUCAUCCUGACAAUAAGUGACUCUUCAGAAGACAUGCACUAGACAUAAUAACUGCAAGUUCUACUCUAAAGCAAUAUUUGCAAAAUUUCCAAUACUUUGUUGUAAUUUUUCUAAUAUUUAAGUCAAAUAUUCCUAAUAUUCAAAUAAAGAUCACAGAGUA